CUUGCUUCUCAGCCUUUUGGCUAAGAUCAAGUAUAGUAUCUGCUCUUAUCAGUUUAAUAUCUGAUACGUCCUCUAGCCACAGACAAUAUAUUAAAUGGUUUUUUGGAAUCGGAUGAUGGAAUAGGAGUUUGCUCUGUCCACUCCAUGCAUCAACCUGGUAUUGCAGUACUUCCAGGAAUGGUGUACCAAAG
RNAcentral lists this small nuclear RNA (191 nucleotides) under Dasypus novemcinctus (nine-banded armadillo). RNAcentral's name for it is "U2 spliceosomal RNA (ENSDNOG00000027645.1)". It matches the Rfam family "U2 spliceosomal RNA". Rfam says of the family: U2 is a small nuclear RNA (snRNA) component of the spliceosome (involved in pre-mRNA splicing). Complementary binding between U2 snRNA (in an area lying towards the 5' end but 3' to hairpin I) and the branchpoint sequence (BPS) of the intron results the bulging out of an unpaired adenosine, on the BPS, which initiates a nucleophilic attack at the intronic 5' splice site, thus starting the first of two transesterification reactions that mediate splicing. Lineage: Eukaryota; Metazoa; Chordata; Mammalia; Cingulata; Dasypodidae. The record is from RNAcentral.